AUUGAACGCUGGCGGAAGGCUUAACACAUGCAAGUCGAGCGGGGGAAGGUAGCUUGCUACCGGACCUAGCGGCGGACGGGUGAGUAAUGCUUAGGAAUCUGCCUAUUAGUGGGGGACAACAUCUCGAAAGGGAUGCUAAUACCGCAUACGUCCUACGGGAGAAAGCAGGGGAUCUUCGGACCUUGCGCUAAUAGAUGAGCCUAAGUCGGAUUAGCUAGUUGGUGGGGUAGAGGCCUACCGAGGCGACGAUCUGUAGCGGGUCUGAGAGGAUGAUCCACCACACUGGGGCUGGGGCACGGCCCAGACGCCUACGGGAGGCAGCAGUGGGGAAUAUUGGACAAUGGGGGGAACCCUGAUCCAGCCAUGCCGCGUGUGUGAAGAAGGCCUUAUGGUUGUAAAGCACUUUAAGCGAGGAGGAGGCUACUCUAGUUAAUACCUAGGGAUAGUGGACGUUACUCGCAGAAUAAGCACCGGCUAACUCUGUGCCAGCAGCCGCGGUAA
RNAcentral lists this ribosomal RNA (501 nucleotides) under uncultured bacterium. Its description in RNAcentral is "partial 16S ribosomal RNA". It matches the Rfam family "Bacterial small subunit ribosomal RNA", at positions 30 to 523 of the family's 1533-position model. The record is from RNAcentral.